ACUGCUCAGUACACGUAACUAACUGCCUGGGUCUGGAAUAAUCCCGGGAAACUGGGGCUAACGCGGAUAGAUAUGGUAUGCUGGAAUGCUUCCAUGUCCAAUCCAAGGAUGGGGCUGCGGCCGAUUAGGUUGUUGCCAGAGUAAAAUCCCUUUACGAGACUGGCUUAAGCUCGCAGAAGGUUACAAUCCUGGCAAGCCGAUAAUCGGUACGGGCCUUGAGAGAGGAAGCCCGGAGAUGGAUUCUGAGACAAGAAUACAGGUCGUACGGGACGCAGCAGGCGCGAAAAUUUCGCAAUGCACGCAAGUGUGACGAAGGAAUUCAGAGUGCUUUCUCGCUUUGAGGAAGCUUUUGCCAAGUCCAAAAUGGCGUCUGAAGCUGUGAAGCAGCUUCUUUCCCUUGGCGAGCUUGGCGAAUAAGUGGUGGGUAAGACUGGUGCCAGCCGCCGCGGUAAUACCAGCGCCACGAGUGGUAACCACGUUUAUUGGGCUUAAAGCGUUCGUAGUCGGUUUGGAAAGUUUCUAAUGAAAUCCUGCAGCUGACUGCAGGGCUUGUUAGAAAUACUUCCAGGCUUGGGACCGGGAGAGGUCGAGGGUAUUAUUGGGGUAGGGGUAAAACACUCUGCUUGCGGCAGGCGUCGCAAGCAAAGCUUGCAAUCCUAUAAUCCCAAUAAGACCACCUGAUGACUUUUGCCGCCUUUGGUGGCAAUAGCCAGGUGAAUGGCGAAGGCGCUCGACUAGAACGGAUCCGACGGUGAGGGACGAAAGCUAGGGGAGCAAAGCGGAUUAGAUACCCGCGUAGUCCUAGCCGUAAACGAUGCCUGCUAGACAUUGGAUAUCUUACGGGGGUGUCCAGAGUCGUAGGGAAACCAUUAAGCAGGCCGCCUGGGGAGUACGGUCGCAAGGCUGAAACUUAAAGGAAUUGGCGGGGGAG
This 931-nucleotide ribosomal RNA is filed under the name uncultured archaeon. RNAcentral describes it as "bacterial SSU rRNA". It matches the Rfam family "Archaeal small subunit ribosomal RNA", at positions 85 to 876 of the family's 1478-position model. The record is from RNAcentral.